RNAcentral lists this ribosomal RNA (235 nucleotides) under uncultured bacterium. Its description in RNAcentral is "partial 16S ribosomal RNA". It matches the Rfam family "Bacterial small subunit ribosomal RNA", at positions 118 to 351 of the family's 1533-position model. The record is from RNAcentral.
UGAGGAACAUGACCUUCGGCGGGGGAUAGCCGGCCCAACGGCCGGGUAAUACCGCGUACGACCUUUUGGGGACAUCCCCGAUUGGUGAAAGCAGCAAUGCGCCGAAAGAGUGCCUCGCGGCCUAUCAGCUAGUUGGUGGGGUAAUGGCUCACCAAGGCGACGACGGGUAGCCGGCCUGAGAGGGUGACCGGCCACACUGGGACUGAGACACGGCCCAGACUCCUACGGGAGGCAG